RNAcentral lists this ribosomal RNA (114 nucleotides) under Pteropus alecto (black flying fox). Lineage: Eukaryota; Metazoa; Chordata; Mammalia; Chiroptera; Pteropodidae. The record is from RNAcentral.
AUCUACGGCCACUCUGAACAUAGCCGAUCUCAUCUGAUCUCAGAAGCUAGGCAGGGUCGGGCCUGGUUAGUACUUGGAUGGGAGGCCACGUAGGAAUACCAGGUGCUGUAGGCU